GGGCCGGUAGCUUAGCUUGGUAGAGCAUCUGUCUUAUAUGACGUGCUUUGAUAACAAACAAAAUCAAAGCAUCUUGGCAUAGCCUGAAAACGUCUAAGCCAGCAGAAGGUCAUGAGUUCAAAUCUCAUUCGGCCCA
This 136-nucleotide transfer RNA is filed under the name archaeon GW2011_AR5. Its description in RNAcentral is "tRNA-Ile". It matches the Rfam family "tRNA". Rfam says of the family: Transfer RNA (tRNA) molecules are approximately 80 nucleotides in length. The record is from RNAcentral.